Molecule: ribosomal RNA, 491 nt
Filed under: uncultured bacterium
Lineage: Bacteria
Description: partial 16S ribosomal RNA
Rfam family: Bacterial small subunit ribosomal RNA
Source: RNAcentral
AGUGAACGCUGGCGGUAGGCCUAACACAUGCAAGUCGAACGGCAGCACAGUAAGAGCUUGCUCUUACGGGUGGCGAGUGGCGGACGGGUGAGGAAUACAUCGGAAUCUACUUUUUCGUGGGGGAUAACGUAGGGAAACUUACGCUAAUACCGCAUACGACCUACGGGUGAAAGCAGGGGAUCUUCGGACCUUGCGCGAUUGAAUGAGCCGAUGCCGGAUUAGCUAGUUGGCGGGGUAAAGGCCCACCAAGGCGACGAUCCGUAGCUGGUCUGAGAGGAUGAUCAGCCACACUGGAACUGAGACACGGUCCAGACUCCUACGGGAGGCAGCAGUGGGGAAUAUUGGACAAUGGGCGCAAGCCUGAUCCAGCCAUACCGCGUGGGUGAAGAAGGCCUUCGGGUUGUAAAGCCCUUUUGUUGGGAAAGAAAAGCAGCAGGUUAAUACCCCGCUGUUCUGACGGUACCCAAAGAAUAAACACCGGCUAACUUCGU